This 837-nucleotide long non-coding RNA is filed under the name Parus major (Great Tit). Its description in RNAcentral is "lncRNA (ENSPMJG00000004599.1)". Lineage: Eukaryota; Metazoa; Chordata; Aves; Passeriformes; Paridae. The record is from RNAcentral.
CUCUAUGGGGCUGGACCCCCUGAUCGGGGGCUGAGCUCUCCUUUAUGGGGUCCCAGUCCCUGCUGUGGGGUUGGACCCCCUGCCACGGUGCUGAGCCCUCGUCUGUGGGGCUGAGCCCUCAUCUGUGGGGCUGAGCUCUCAUCUGUGGGGCUGAGCCCUUCUCUGUGGGGCUGAGCCUUUCUCCAUGGGGCUGAGCCCCACUGCUGUGGGCAACGUGGGACCGGCUCCCUCUCCAUGGAGCCGAGUCCCCGCUAUGGGGCCGAGCCCUUCUCCAUGGGGCCGGGUCCCCGCUAUGGGGCCGGGUCCCCGCUAUGGGGCCGAGUCCCUGCUAUGGGGCCGAGUCCCCGCUAUGGGGCCGAGUCCCCGCUAUGGGGCCGAGCCCCUCUCCAUGGGGCCGAGCCCCUCUCCAUGGGGCCGAGUCCCCGCUAUGGGGCCGAGCCCCCGCUAUGGGGCCACAGCCCCGUCCCUGGGGGCCGCGGGUGCCCCCCGGGCUCCCCCGGCCCCCCGGCCUGACCUCCUUCUCUCCCCAGCUACCGCCCGGCGCUGCCGACGGCCCAGCUGGGCCCACUUAUGGGGCUGGAGCCCCCCGAGCGCCGCCGCUUCCUGGGGGGGCUGCCCCUCACCUUCACCGGGCCCGACCGCGGCGCCAUCGACUGCCGGCAGAGCCUGGCGGCCCUGCCCCACAUCUGAGCCACCGCGACCCACGGCAGCCUCGGCACGGCCGUGGGCACAGGGAGGGACCCGUGGGGCGCGGAUCUGCCCCACGGCCGCUGCCCCAUAACCUUCUCUCCCCCCUCAGCAGCCACAGGAGGGGGGAUUUGGGGUGGGGACCGACGU